CAGCUAGUUGGGGAGGUAACGGCUCACCAAGGCGACGAUGGCUAGGGGAGCUGAGAGGCUGGUCCCCCACACGGGCACUGAGAUACGGGCCCGACUCCUACGGGAGGCAGCAGUAGGGAAUAUUGGGCAAUGGCCGAGAGGCUGACCCAGCCAUGCCGCGUGCAGGAUGAAGGCUUUCUGAGUCGUAAACUGCUUUUGUCAGGGAAGAAUAAGGACCAUGCGUGGUCUGAUGACGGUACCUGGCGAAUAAGCACCGGCUAACUCCGUGCCAGCAGCCGCGGUAAUACGGAGGGUGCAAGCGUUGUCCGGAUUUAUUGGGUUUAAAGGGUGCGUAGGCGGCUUUUUAAGUCUGGGGUGAAAGCCCGUUGCUCAACAACGGAACUGCCCUGGAAACUGGAGAGCUUGAGUACAGACGAGGGUGGCGGAAUGGAUGUUGUAGCGGUGAAAUGCAUAGAUAGCAUCCAGAACCCCGAUUGCGAAGGCAGCUGCCUAGACUGUAACUGACGCUGAGGCACGAAAGCGUGGGGAGCGAACAGGAUUAGAUACCCUGGUAGUCCACGCCGUAAACGAUGGAUACUCGCUGGUGGCGAUAGACGGUCACUGGCUUAGCGAAA
Molecule: ribosomal RNA, 614 nt
Filed under: uncultured Bacteroidota bacterium
Lineage: Bacteria; Pseudomonadati; Bacteroidota
Description: SSU rRNA
Rfam family: Bacterial small subunit ribosomal RNA
Source: RNAcentral